This is a long non-coding RNA of Cebus imitator (Panamanian white-faced capuchin), 347 nucleotides long. RefSeq lists it as uncharacterized. Lineage: Eukaryota; Metazoa; Chordata; Mammalia; Primates; Cebidae. The record is from RefSeq and is a predicted model, not a curated record. The transcript has 3 exons.
GCGGGCCUGCCUGGGCGGCGGCGGGGGUGGCGGCGCCGCUGCAGUGCGGGUACCCGCUCGCUCGCUUGCCGGUAGUCCCCGCGCCCCGCGUACCGGCGCAGCCACCUCCUGGCCUCGGGCGCCGCGCAUCCAGGAAGGAAGCAGCAGCACUCGCCAUGGCCUCCCCGCCCGCCUGCCCCUCGGAGGAGGACGAGAGCCUGAAGGGCUGUGAGCUGUACGUGCAGCUGCACGGGAUCCAGCAGGUCCUCAAGGACUGCAUCGUGCAUCUCUGCAUCUCCAAGCCCGAGCGCCCCAUGAAGUUCCUCCGGGAGCACUUCAAGAAGCUGGAGAAGGAAGGGUCUGAAUUC